AUAAUACUCCCUCCGUCCCAAAAUUCUUGUCUUAGAUUUAUCUAGAUACGAAUGUAUCUAACACUAAAAUGUUAAUAGAUACAUUCAUAUGUGGACAAAUCUAAGACAAGAAUUUUGGGAUGGAGGGGGUAUUAU
Non-coding RNA from Triticum aestivum (bread wheat), 135 nucleotides. The record is from Rfam. Lineage: Eukaryota; Viridiplantae; Streptophyta; Magnoliopsida; Poales; Poaceae.